Molecule: ribosomal RNA, 846 nt
Filed under: Mycena adscendens
Lineage: Eukaryota; Fungi; Basidiomycota; Agaricomycetes; Agaricales; Mycenaceae
Description: eukaryotic LSU rRNA
Rfam family: 5.8S ribosomal RNA (bases 293-446)
Source: RNAcentral
AGGAAGUAAAAGUCGUAACAAGGUUUCCGUAGGUGAACCUGCGGAAGGAUCAUUAUUGAAUAGCUUUGGGGCGCUGUGCUGGCCUUUCGGGGCAUGUGCACGCGUUUCCAUCUAUUUACUUAUCUCUUGUGAACCUAGUGUGGGCUUUGAAUGAGUGGGUUCGAGUGGAACUGGUCUUUCAUUAGAUUGGGGAAGCUUGGGCUAGCUUGUUUGAAGACCAUUUUUAUAAACCUAUUUGAAAUUUAUCAGAAUGUACUUCUUUACUUGACGCGAGUCAGUAAGAACCUUAUACAACUUUCAGCAACGGAUCUCUUGGCUCUCCCAUCGAUGAAGAACGCAGCGAAAUGCGAUAAGUAAUGUGAAUUGCAGAAUUCAGUGAAUCAUCGAAUCUUUGAACGCACCUUGCGCCCUUUGGUAUUCCGAAGGGCAUGCUUGUUUGAGUGUCAUUAACUUCUCAACCUUGGUGGACUUUGUUGCUCACUUCAAGGCUUGGAUGUGAGGGUCUUUGCUGGCUUCCUUCAGUGGCGGUCUGCUCCCUUUAAAUGCAUUAGUGGAAUCCUUUGUGGACGGUCACUUGGCUUGAUAAUUAUCUAUGCUUUGUGUGCUUUGAAGCAAACCUUAUGGGACUUCUGCUUAUAACCGUCUUGUAAUAAGACAACUUUUUGAACCUUUGACCUCAAAUCAAGUAGGACUACCCGCUGAACUUAAGCAUAUCAAUAAGCGGAGGAAAAGAAACUAACAAGGAUUCCCCUAGUAACUGCGAGUGAAGCGGGAAAAGCUCAAAUUUAAAAUCUGGCAGCUUCGCUGUCCGAGUUGUAAUUUAGAGAAGUGUUACCCGUGCUGGAC